GCUAAUAAAGAAUGGAUCCAAGAAUUUUAACAUUCUGUAUCAUUGUAACCAAGGGCUAUCAUUCGUUAUUUUCUUGCCACAUACCCUCUCCAAAUUUUGUUUUCCAUUUAGAAGCCAACUUGGAUAAAUUAGGGUUCUUCUCCAAAUUGGAGAAAUUAAGUUGCUGCGAAUAUUUAGUGAGAGAUUCCUGGUAUGAUAUCUUCUGUUAUUUUCAUAAUUCUUUCUUAUAGUUUCCUUUCUAUGUACCUUUUCU
This 253-nucleotide long non-coding RNA is filed under the name Nicotiana benthamiana. Its description in RNAcentral is "long non-coding RNA (NBEN_LNC007332)". Lineage: Eukaryota; Viridiplantae; Streptophyta; Magnoliopsida; Solanales; Solanaceae. The record is from RNAcentral.